GUUCUACUGAAGGUCCAACAUUGAGUUCUUUCUUUUCUCACACCUCUUUUGCAUACAGAGCAUGGACAUCUAUCGUCUGUAUGAACUUAACACUGUCUCUUCAAACAUUAUGAGGAUUGAUGGAGUCCACCACGGGAAACAUGGAAAGAAAGGCUCUGUAGUUUUCUGGCUUCAGGUCCAGCAAGCUCGUG
This is a long non-coding RNA of Ipomoea nil (Japanese morning glory), 191 nucleotides long. RefSeq lists it as uncharacterized. The record is from RefSeq and is a predicted model, not a curated record. NCBI's taxonomy places the organism in Eukaryota, Viridiplantae, Streptophyta, Magnoliopsida, Solanales, Convolvulaceae. The transcript has 3 exons.